This 305-nucleotide ribosomal RNA is filed under the name uncultured bacterium. Its description in RNAcentral is "bacterial SSU rRNA". It matches the Rfam family "Bacterial small subunit ribosomal RNA", at positions 334 to 653 of the family's 1533-position model. The record is from RNAcentral.
UGGGCCUACGGGAGGCAGCAGUGGGGAAUAUUGCACAAUGGGGGGAACCCUGAUGCAGCAAUGCCGCGUGGGUGAAGAAGUAUUUCGGUAUGUAAAGCUCUGUCAGCAGGGAAGAAAGAAAUGACGGUACCUGACCAAGAAGCCCCGGCUAACUACGUGCCAGCAGCCGCGGUAAUACGUAGGGGGCAAGCGUUAUCCGGAAUUACUGGGUGUAAAGGGAGCGUAGACGGUGAUGCAAGUCUGGAGUGAAAGGCGGGGGCCCAACCCCCGGACUGCUCUGGAAACUGUGUAACUUGAGUGCAGGG